Ochotona princeps (American pika) is the source of this 390-nucleotide non-coding RNA. The record is from the annotation of a RefSeq genome assembly. Lineage: Eukaryota; Metazoa; Chordata; Mammalia; Lagomorpha; Ochotonidae.
AUGGGCAUGAGGGCCCCUGCUCAGCUCCUGGGCCUCCUGAUGCUCUGUUUCCUAGGUGCUAGAUGUUCUGCCAACACACUGACCCAGACUCCAUCCGAGGUGUCUGCAAAUGUGGGAGGCACAGUCACCAUCAAGUGCGAGUCAGAUAAGAGUGUUGCUUACAAUUAUCUAGGCUGGUUUCAGCAGAAAGCAGUGCAACCUCCGAAGCUCCUGAUCUAUGGUGCAUCCACUUUAGAUUCUGGGGUCCCUGACAGGUUCAAGGGCAGUGGAUCUGGGACAUCAUUCACUCUCACCAUCAGCGGGGUGCAGGCUGAUGAUGCAGGAAUCUACUACUGUGAAGCUUACUAUGCUACUAGUAGUGAUCGUUUCACCACAGUGAUACAAGCAUGA